AAAACUUAACUUUGACCACUGAACCAUGAAAAUGAGGUCACGGUCACAUGACAUCUGCCCGCUAGACAUGUACACCUUACAAUCAUUCCAUACAACAAAUAUAGUAGACCUAUUGCAUAUAGUAUGAGAAAAACAGACCAAAACACAAAAAUUUAACUAUAACCACUGAACCAUGAAAAUGAGGUCAAGGUCAGAUGACACCUGCCACUUGGACAUGUACACCUUACAGUCCUUCCAUACACCGAAUAUUCUAGCCCUAUUGCUUAUAGUAUCUGAGAUAUGGACUUGACCACCAAAACUUAACCUUGUUCACUGAUCCAUGAAAUGAGGUCGAGGUCAAGUGAAAACUGUCUGACAGACAUGAGGACCUUGCAAGGUACGCACAUAUCAAAUAUAGUUAUCCUAUUACUUAUAAUAACAGAGAAUUAAACAUUACAAAAAAUUUG
RNAcentral lists this long non-coding RNA (446 nucleotides) under Mytilus galloprovincialis (Mediterranean mussel). The record is from RNAcentral. Lineage: Eukaryota; Metazoa; Mollusca; Bivalvia; Mytilida; Mytilidae.